This 1589-nucleotide long non-coding RNA is filed under the name Homo sapiens (human). Its description in RNAcentral is "non-protein coding lnc-PKN2-2:5". The record is from RNAcentral. Lineage: Eukaryota; Metazoa; Chordata; Mammalia; Primates; Hominidae.
ACUUCGCCGCUGCCUUUCGUCGGGGCCGCGAGCGGGGCGACGGCCGCCCAGCGCCCCUGGCACCCCUGAUCUCCAGCCGGGGCUCCCGGCCCGCGCCUUGGUGGCUGGAGGCCCAGGAUGAGCCUCGAUGGCGAGAGGCCCAGGAUGCGCCACCAGGCCGGGCUCACUUCUUUGACGCCGAAUAAACUGACAAAACAAUUAGCUGGCCGGCUGGGGAAGGUGGUGGGUGACUCAAAUGCCAGUCGGCUGCGUGCCCCCGCGCUUAGAUGAGUCUGGGAUUCUGGGCAGUUGGGACUUUCUUUUCAGGAAAGGAGGUGAGAGGUGCCGGGGAAGCCCACACGAGCAGCCACUCUUGGAGAAAUGGGGAAUGGCGCUGUAAAAGCGCAGGCCCUCCUCCUCCUCCUUUCUCCCCAUCACACAAAAAGGAUGGGCCUUGAAAGGGAUGAGUUUAUUAUGCACUUUUAAAUGCCUAUUCAGAAAAGAACAGGAGGCAAAAAUAAAGAUGCUUCCCACCCCACCAAUUCCCUUCCCUCGAAGAAAAAAGGAAAGAGAAAGCAACCCACAAAGGUCUUUCUUUCCAGACCUGUGGUCUCUCCCCACCUCCAGCCUCUUAUGGAGAGCAAAGGAAGGAAAUGGGAACAGGACUCAACAGCAACAUUCCAGGAAAAUGAAUAGAAUGUGGGAACGGUUCGAAAUGAUAAAUCCAGGUGAUAGAACGAGUUUCAAAGAGCAAGAGCCUGAUGGUAAUAGGGAAGCCAGGGGAACGGCAGAGGUUGUGCAGAAGACGACUCUGGCAAAAUAAGGACUGUGGAGAGAAAGUAAGUGGCUUUUAAGAUCUUAAACAUGGGGUCAAAAUUAUACCAUGAGAAGAAAGAAAAAGUCCCUGGGAGUGUUUGUAGACAGACCAAAGGACAGAACGUGAAGAAGGGCCUAUGAGAGAAUUGGUAUCCGGAAGAUUGUUUAUGUGCAACACUUCUGAGGAAUAAAGGGUGAUAAACUGUCUCGUGAGAAUGAACUACUGGAAGGACGGAGAGACACAAGGAAUGGCUGCAGUCAAGGUGAAAUGUAGGCCGUUGUGAGAGUUUCAUCCCAGGGCAUGAUGAGAAUGCCAGGGCCUGAUGCGUGUCAACGGUGCUUCAUCUGCUCAGAGAGUGUCCUAAAACCAGUCAGACCCUAGAUGUAGAAGUAUGCCACCCAAUGUCACCUAGCAGUUCAAUGCCAGGGAGAGAAAAUUCAGGCUUUCUUAUCCCCCUUCUAGUGCAAGCCCAUGGAAUAUGCCACUUUCCUAGUUAGGAUUUGGAAUUGGUCAUUGGGAAGGGCUCCGAAGAGAAACUCUGAGAAUUGUUGAUUUCCAUUUCAAAUCCCCCUAAUGCAUAAAAUAAGAAUGUGUUCUGCGGUGUUCCUCAGCUUAUUAACUUUUAUAAAAGAAAGGAAUGAUCUUUGUUGUUACUUGAAAACAGCCACAUUUGGAAAGGUCUACGCUACCCAAAUGUAAUAAAAAUAAAUUUUAGUUCAAUUGGUCAGUCUUGAAAGCUAAUUGAACAGUCAUGCUUUGUUCUAAUUAUUCCUGGCUACCAUUAAAGUGAUGG